GAGGAAUAUUGGACAAUGGGCGAAAGCCUGAUCCAGCCAUGCCGCGUGAGUGAUGAAGGCCUUAGGGUUGUAAAGCUCUUUCGAUGGUGAAGAUAAUGACGGUAACCAUAGAAGAAGCCCCGGCUAACUUCGUGCCAGCAGCCGCGGUAAUACGAAGGGGGCUAGCGUUGUUCGGAAUCACUGGGCGUAAAGCGCGCGUAGGCGGAUAUGCAAGUCAGAGGUGAAAGCCCAGGGCCUAACCUUGGAACUGCCUUUGAAACUGCAUAUCUAGAGACUCGGAGGGGGUAGUGGAAUUCCAAAUGUAGGGGUGAAAUCCGUAGAUAUUUGGAGGAACACCGGUGGCGAAGGCGGCUACCUGGACGAGUACUGACGCUGAGGUGCGAAAGCGUGGGGAUCAAAC
This 400-nucleotide ribosomal RNA is filed under the name uncultured bacterium. RNAcentral describes it as "bacterial SSU rRNA". It matches the Rfam family "Bacterial small subunit ribosomal RNA", at positions 356 to 773 of the family's 1533-position model. The record is from RNAcentral.